ACUCCUACGGGAGGCAGCAGUGGGGAAUAUUGCGCAAUGGGCGAAAGCCUGACGCAGCCAUGCCGCGUGUGUGAAGAAGGCCCUAGGGGUUGUAAAGCACUUUCAAUUGGGGAAGAAAAGCUGCUGGUUAAUAACCAGUAGCCCUGACAUUACCUUUAGAAGAAGCACCGGCUAACUCCGUGCCAGCAGCCGCGGUAAUACGGAGGGUGCGAGCGUUAAUCGGAAUUACUGGGCGUAAAGCGCGCGUAGGCGGUUUGUUAAGUCGGAUGUGAAAGCCCCCGGGCUCAACCUGGGAACUGCACCCGAUACUGGCCGACUAGAGUACGAGAGAGGAGGUAGAAUUCCAUGUGUAGCGGUGAAAUGCGUAGAUAUAUGGAGGAAUACCAGUGGCGAAGGCGGCUCCUGGCUCGAUACUGACGCUGAGGUGCGAAAGCGUGGGAGCAAACAGGAUUAGAUACCCCUGGUAGCGACUGA
Molecule: ribosomal RNA, 474 nt
Filed under: uncultured bacterium
Lineage: Bacteria
Description: bacterial SSU rRNA
Rfam family: Bacterial small subunit ribosomal RNA
Source: RNAcentral